Molecule: long non-coding RNA, 632 nt
Filed under: Homo sapiens (human)
Lineage: Eukaryota; Metazoa; Chordata; Mammalia; Primates; Hominidae
Description: HSALNT0255502
Source: RNAcentral
UUUCUCUGAUGGCCAAUGAUGAUGAGCAUUUUUUCAUGUGUCUUUUGGCUGCAUAAAUGUCUUCUUUUGAGAAGUGUCUAUUCAUGUCCUUCGCUCACUUUUUGAUGGGGUGGUUUUUUUCUUGUAAAUUUGUUUGAGUUCAUUGUAGAUUCUGGAUAUUAGCCCUUUGUCAGAUGAGUAGGUUGCAAACAUUUUCUCCCAUUCUGUAGGUUGCCUGUUCACUCUGAUGGUAGUUUCUUUGGCUGUGCAGAAGCUCUUUAGUUUAAUUAGAUCCCAUUUGUCAAUUUUGGCUUUUGUUGCCAUUGCUUUUGGUGUUUUAGACAUGAAGUCCUUGCCCAUGCCUAUGUCCUGAAUGGUAAUGCCUAGGUUUUCUUCUAGGGUUUUUUGGGCUCAGGUGAUCCUCUCACCUCAGCCUACUGAGUAGCUGGGACUUACAGGUACACAAUACCAUACCUGGCUAACUUUUUUUUGUUUUGUUUUUUGUAGAGAUGGAGUUUCGGCUCAUUGGCUGGGCUUGGUCUUGAACUGGUAAGCUCAAGUGAUCUGCCCGCCUUGGGCUCCCAGACAUGCACCACUGCACCUGGCCUAGAGAGAGAGAUUUUUAAAGAAAACAAUUUGGCUGGGGGCGGUGA